UAAAUCCUACAAUGUGCGUGUGCCUAUUUGAUUUUUUAACCAACACUUUUUUUAACGGGAGCUUAACUUUAGAUAUCUAAUAAAUGCCCUGAAUUUAAGGGACUUAUGAAAUAUCUAGGAGAGCACCCACCUGCUAAGCAGGUUUAAAAAACAAAGGGUCACGGCAUCGUGGGGUUUUU
Molecule: non-coding RNA, 179 nt
Filed under: Desulfonispora thiosulfatigenes DSM 11270
Lineage: Bacteria; Bacillati; Bacillota; Clostridia; Eubacteriales; Peptococcaceae
Description: 6S / SsrS RNA
Rfam family: 6S / SsrS RNA
About the family: E. coli 6S RNA was the first non coding RNA to be sequenced, but its function was unknown until recently.
Source: Rfam by way of RNAcentral